CUUCCCCCAAAAAACACACACACACACGGCUUCCCAUUUUCCAUGAAAGAAAGAAACUGAGGCAGAGAGGGAGAGGAAGACUGAGUUGCAGCAGAGGAGAGGCGGAAGGAAGCUCAUCGCGUUGUCGUCGCCUCGUCACCGCGCCACCGCGUCCUGCCGUCCCUGCCACCAUGAAGCCACCGAACCAGGCUGAGGAAGAGAGAGGAAGAACGAGCGUGAGAGAGAGCUCGGCCGCGGGAAGGGGAAACGCGGGUCUGACCCGUCACCGUCGACCCGUUCGUCCCAGCCCGUCACUGUGCGAGGAAGCCGCCACCGCACCGUUGCCGUCACUGGAGAUGCUUCGUGCAUCGCCGUCGCUCCCUGGCGCCACCAAAGAAGCCGUCGACGUUUGUGCCUUCCGCCAUCGUCAGCUGCGUCAUCACCGUGCCUUGUGUCGCUGCUGUUGACCUCCUCGCAGUCCACUGCCGCCGAUUGAGCACCACGAAGAACAGAAAGCGCGCUCGAUGAGUGAGAAGGGAUGGAGGUUGGGUUUUUGUUGCUGUACUACUCCAUUUCUACCUCUACCAUGCCUUGUUGAAGUUGUCGGAGCCUCUGCCAUCAUCGGGGUUGCUGAUUAGUUGAUACCGCUGCCUGGGUCGCUGCGGUACAAGCUGCCGGAGAAAGGAGCUGCAUCUCUAUAUUUUUGACCGCCGGGAGUGGUUAUGUGGCUUCCGGGAUCACCGUCGGAGCUUCGGGCUGAGUUUCUGCCACUUGAGUCCCUGCUGCCGUCGCUGAAAAAGUUUGCCGUUGUCGUGAUCGGAAAUUGUCACCGCUGUCGCUUGAGGUGGCUGCUGAGUUGCCGCUGAACCGGCUCGGAGACUGCCGCUGUUUCGGUUCAGCCGUUCCUUCUUCGGUUCGGAAGCGCAGCUGUUCCUUUGUGUUAUUUCGAGUUGCUGAGACUGUUGCGAAAGUGACUUGGAGCUGAGGUUUUGGUUGCCGUCAGUUUGGUUUGAGACGGAAAGGACUUGAUGAGGCAUUUAGGUUAUGAAAUUGCGUUUUGAGGAUAUGGGCGCAGAAGUCAUGAAGAGUUUAUUUAAUUGUUGUUGAGAUGUUUUGUAUUGCUUUAGAUUAUUAUUUUUGUACCCUCGCCUUUACCUUGAUAUAUUCUGUAAGAGGGAUAGGAAUUGUAUUG
Molecule: long non-coding RNA, 1171 nt
Organism: Arachis duranensis
Lineage: Eukaryota; Viridiplantae; Streptophyta; Magnoliopsida; Fabales; Fabaceae
Exons: 4
Source: RefSeq, a predicted model, not a curated record